CCCACCUGGAGGCUGGCCUAGCCAGCUUUCUCCUAGCCAGGCUGGCUCCCCAGAGGGUGUAAGGGAUCGGGCAAAGGACCCCCAUUAUGCAACUGGCUUGCCUAUUCUUCCUUAGCGUUGUUGCUUUGUGUUCAUUGAAAAUAAGCAGAGCAGAGAUACCUCACGGUUUCGAUCUCCUGUUGAACGGUUCAAAUGAAGGAGAGACAGAAGACAAUGAUAUCAUCGUCCGGAGAGCUGUGCGGAAGUAUCCAGAAGAUUCUGAGGACAUAGGUAUUGGGCACCGGCAGGCCUCAAUACGAGUGUCGCCAGUAGAGUGCAACUGCCCUGAGGUGCUGGCCAAAGGCACUCUGGUGGCCAUUGUGGCUGCCUUGGCCUUCCUGAGCUUCUUUUCCAUCACGAUUCUCCUGGUGGUGGCCAUCUGCAUCCUGCGCCUGGUGGAGAAGCAGAAGAAAAAGGAGAAAGAGGAGAAGCCGGCCCGCUCUUCGCACCGGAGACUGGUCCCUCCUGUUCCGCCCCCCCGCCCGGAGCAUACGUACAUGACGGUGCAGCCUUUGCACGGAUAUGAACGGCUCCACCCAGCCUCCCCGCGGGCGGCAAGAGGCAUCUAUCUGAGUGCCAGUGAGCUGCACCCUGGUCCCAGAGUCCAUCGGGAGAAAGGUUACCAGAGUGCCAGCGUGACGCCACCAGGAGCCAAGUCAGUAGGAAUAAGAAUGGGGAAGGCCUCUUCUUUAACAAAUGGCUUGAUUAAUAUCCUGCCUGUCUCCCAUGCUGGGAGCCAAGGCAGUUUCUUUGGGUGGCAUGCAGAGUGUGUGGGAAGGGAAGGCAGGCGAGCUGCACCCAGAGAUUGGAAAAUGGGGCUGCAGGGCCCUGCAUUUCCCAGCUGGAGUGGCUGCUGGGAGCUGUAGGCGAAGAAAUUAAUGUUUCCGAGCUCUGGCAAGGGGGCAGACCUCCCCUAGCGCUUCCCAGAUGGAAAUGGAGGGGCACACUUGCUUCCCCCGCUGACUGCGUCAGCAUCUCCCCUUUCUAAUGGCUCCUUCAUAGGGACCUCAGACAGCUCUUGUACCUUGCCUGUCUGCAGUGUUCAUUGACUGGAGCUCCCUGCUUUUCCUCUGGGGCCCCUCCUGUACCUUCACACAUGCACAGGGGGCUUCUUUUCUUUCCAGGUCUACUCGAGAGAAUGAGUAUAUUGGCCCUGACCCAGCACCAUCUCUUUCCACGCCCCCUUUGGACAAAUCAUACACAAGUGCAGAUAAGACGGGUUCUCAGUAAGUGUGGGGCCCUGAAUGAGGAGAUAGGGUUGGGGGUUAAAAUAACCAACCUGGGA
This is an RNA transcript of Sceloporus undulatus (fence lizard), 1324 nucleotides long. RefSeq lists it as uncharacterized. The transcript is spliced from 9 exons. The record is from RefSeq and is a predicted model, not a curated record. NCBI's taxonomy places the organism in Eukaryota, Metazoa, Chordata, Lepidosauria, Squamata, Phrynosomatidae.